GAUGAACGCUGGCGGCGUGCCUAAUACAUGCAAGUCGAGCGAACAGAUGAGGAGCUUGCUCCUCUGACGUUAGCGGCGGACGGGUGAGUAACACGUGGAUAACCUACCUAUAAGACUGGGAUAACUUCGGGAAACCGGAGCUAAUACCGGAUAAUAUAUUGAACCGCAUGGUUCAAUAGUGAAAGACGGUUUUGCUGUCACUUAUAGAUGGAUCCGCGCCGCAUUAGCUAGUUGGUAAGGUAACGGCUUACCAAGGCAACGAUGCGUAGCCGACUGAAAGGGUGAUCGGCCACACUGGAACUGAGACACGGUCCAGACUCCUACGGGAGGCAGCAGUAGGGAAUCUUCCGCAAUGGGCGAAAGCCUGACGGAGCAACGCCGCGUGAGUGAUGAAGGUCUUCGGAUCGUAAAACUCUGUUAUUAGGGAAGAACAAAUGUGUAAGUAACUAUGCACGUCUUGACGGUACCUAAUCAGAAAGCCACGGCUAACUACGUG
Molecule: ribosomal RNA, 496 nt
Filed under: uncultured bacterium
Lineage: Bacteria
Description: partial 16S ribosomal RNA
Rfam family: Bacterial small subunit ribosomal RNA
Source: RNAcentral